CACUACAAAGAUGCUUGUGGAGAGAACCUUGACUGGUAUUCAUAAUUGGCCAAAUACAACAGUUGUCUACAAUUAAUGAGUUUCAUCUGAAUGGGGCAUAAUCUCCAGAUUUAGGCUGCUGCUGCUCCCAGCUGUAAAUGGGUUCUUGGCCAUCUCUGCUGGGAAGUCAGAGACAGCUGGAUGUGCAUCACUUGCUUGCAUGCCAUUGGCUGUGGAAGCUGAACCAUGCUGACCGGAUGGGCCUUCUAGGCACAGGUGAACCAUGAACCAAAUGGAGGGCUGUUGACCUUGGUGGGCACCUGACUCAAUGCAAGAAUCUAGCCGGAAAGAGCUGCUUGCAGACCCAAGAAAUGACCCAGAGGUUUCAAACAUGGGGUCAGGAAGAAGUUACACUCCUACGGAUGGCAGAAGAGAAGAUUCAAGUCUUUAGCUUUCCUGAGCUUGGAAGAUGGACCUUUUUAUAGUCAUGGUUUCUCUAACCAAAGGAAGAGAUGGAAUGAGAAGGAAGAACUGAGAAA
This is a long non-coding RNA of Alligator sinensis (Chinese alligator), 518 nucleotides long. RefSeq lists it as uncharacterized. The transcript has 4 exons. The record is from RefSeq and is a predicted model, not a curated record. NCBI's taxonomy places the organism in Eukaryota, Metazoa, Chordata, Crocodylia, Alligatoridae.